This 369-nucleotide long non-coding RNA is filed under the name Lathyrus oleraceus (garden pea). RNAcentral describes it as "Pisum sativum (pea) long non-coding RNA (PSAT_LNC002940)". The record is from RNAcentral. Lineage: Eukaryota; Viridiplantae; Streptophyta; Magnoliopsida; Fabales; Fabaceae.
UUGAAUCGUCUUGUGAUACGUUUCGUUGAAGAUUGCAGCAUAACUUCUGACAUUUCUUGUUCAAAACAGUGCUUGUUGGUUAUUAAAGCAUUCAUUAUCAAUACUGUUAAUUGAAUUUGGGCUUCUAGGAACAACAUCAGGUUCCAAAAUGUUGUCAACAAUUGGAUAUCGACUACUGCUUCCAUUUUGUCUCAUACGACAUUAUCUGGGAAUAUCUCUAACACUUGUUCCAGUGUUUCUAUCUAAGAUUUUGUGCUUUUAAAUAGUUUUAAGGUGGUGUCUCGCCCUCCUAAACAUCGCAUGGUGAAGGAAAUUUUGUGGUUCCCCAUGCUCCAAACUAGAUAAAGGUUAGCACUGACGGUACUUCGG